UCGAGUCAGAUUUGAUCGUCGGCGUGAAGAGAUAAUUAGGGCUUUGAGGGUCAGGUCUUGGAUCCCUUCUUUGUUGUUGUUGAUUGAGAGUCAGGGGAAUCCCUGGUAUGCUGGUUCACGGAGCGGAGUAGGUGAUCCAUCUGGAAAUGAUCAGUUGAGGAGGGAGAGAUCGGAUCCAAUUACUUGCUGUAACCCACAGAUCAGUUCUUGGAUGUUUCCUUCUUUGCUGUGAUAGAGGUGUUCUGUAGGUUGGGAGGUUCCUUGUUCUUGAUUCAGCAGAGGUGUUCUUG
Zingiber officinale is the source of this 290-nucleotide long non-coding RNA. RefSeq lists it as uncharacterized. Lineage: Eukaryota; Viridiplantae; Streptophyta; Magnoliopsida; Zingiberales; Zingiberaceae. The record is from RefSeq and is a predicted model, not a curated record. The transcript is spliced from 3 exons.